GAUGAACGCUGGCGGCGUGCCUAAUACAUGCAAGUCGAGCGAACAGACGAGGAGCUUGCUCCUGUGACGUUAGCGGCGGACGGGUGAGUAACACGUGGAUAACCUACCUAUUAGACUGCGAUAACUUUGGGAAACCGGGUCUAAUACCGGAUAAUAUAUUGAACCGCAUUGUCCAAUAGUGAAAGACGGUUUUUCUGUCCCUUAUAGAUUGAUCCGCGCCCCAUUAGUUAGUUGGUAAGGUAACUGCUUACCAAUGCAACGGUGCGUAGCCGACCGGAGAGGGAGGGCGGCCGCACUGGAACUGAGUCAGAGUCCACACACCCACGGAAGGCAGGAGGAGGGAAUCUUCCGCGAAGGGCGAGAGCAUGCCGGAGCCACGGCGCGUGAGUGAGGGAUGUCUUCGGACCGUAAAACUCUGUUUUUAGGUAAGAACGAAUGUGUAAGUAACUAGGCAGGGCUGAAGGGAACCUAGUCAGGAAGCCCCGGCUAACUACGUG
RNAcentral lists this ribosomal RNA (497 nucleotides) under uncultured bacterium. Its description in RNAcentral is "partial 16S ribosomal RNA". It matches the Rfam family "Bacterial small subunit ribosomal RNA", at positions 28 to 507 of the family's 1533-position model. The record is from RNAcentral.